This 434-nucleotide ribosomal RNA is filed under the name uncultured bacterium. RNAcentral describes it as "partial 16S ribosomal RNA". It matches the Rfam family "Bacterial small subunit ribosomal RNA", at positions 29 to 507 of the family's 1533-position model. The record is from RNAcentral.
AGCGAACGCUGGCGGCAGGCCUAACACAUGCAAGUCGAACGAACCUUUCGGGGUUAGUGGCGGACGGGUGAGUAACACGUGGGAACGUGCCUUUAGGUUCGGAAUAACUCAGGGAAACUUGUGCUAAUACCGAAUGUGCCCUUCGGGGGAAAGAUUUAUCGCCUUUAGAGCGGCCCGCGUCUGAUUAGCUAGUUGGUUGAGGUAAUGGCUCACCAAGGCGACGAUCAGUAGCUGGUCUAAGAGGAUGAUCAGCCACAUUGGGACUGAGACACGGCCCAAACUCCUACGGGAGGCAGCAGUGGGGAAUCUUGCGCAAUGGGCGAAAGCCUGACGCAGCCAUGCCGCGUGAAUGAUGAAGGUCUUAGGAUUGUAAAAUUCUUUCACCGGGGACGAUAAUGACGGUACCCGGAGAAGAAGCCCCGGCUAACUUCGUG